UGCGUAGGCGGGCUAAUAAGUCAGUGGUGAAAUCUCUCGGCUCAACCGGGAAACUGCCAUUGAUACUGUUAGUCUUGAGUUCGGUUGAGGUAGGCGGAAUGUGUAAUGUAGCGGUGAAAUGCUUAGAUAUUACACAGAACACCAAUUGCGUAGGCAGCUUACUAGACCGACACUGACGCUGAGGCACGAAAGCGUGGGGGGCGAACAGGAUUAGAUACCCUGGUAGUCC
Molecule: ribosomal RNA, 229 nt
Filed under: uncultured bacterium
Lineage: Bacteria
Description: partial 16S ribosomal RNA
Rfam family: Bacterial small subunit ribosomal RNA
Source: RNAcentral